AAUCAACGCUGGCGGCGUGCCUAACACAUGCAAGUCGAACGCGAAAGUCCCGCAAGGGAUUAGUAGAGUGGCAAACGGGUGAGUAACGCGUGGGUGACCUACCUUCGAGUGGGGGAUAACGUCCCGAAAGGGACGCUAAUACCGCAUAACAUCCUGCUUUUGAAUGGGUGGAGAUCAAAGCCGGGGAUCGCAAGACCUGGCGCUUGAUGAGGGGCCCGCGUCUGAUUAGCUAGUUGGNGAGGUAACGGCCCACCAAGGCAACGAUCAGUACCCGGCCUGAGAGGGCGGACGGACACACUGGGACUGAGACACGGCCCAGACUCCUACGGGAGGCAGCAGUGGGGAAUUGUUCGCAAUGGGCGCAAGCCUGACGACGCAACGCCGCGUGGA
Molecule: ribosomal RNA, 390 nt
Filed under: uncultured bacterium
Lineage: Bacteria
Description: bacterial SSU rRNA
Rfam family: Bacterial small subunit ribosomal RNA
Source: RNAcentral